UACGUAGGGGGCAAGCGUUGUCCGGAAUUAUUGGGCGUAAAGAGCGCGUAGGCGGUCCGAUAAGUCGGCUGUGAAGGUCAGGGGCUCAACCCUUGAAAGCCGGCCGAUACUGUCGGACCAGAGUCCGGAAGAGGCAAGUGGAAUUCCCGGUGUAGCGGUGAAAUGCGCAGAUAUCGGGAGGAACACCAGUGGCGAAGGCGACUACCUGGCCUGUUCUUGACGCUGAGGCGCGAAAGCUAGGGGAGCAAACGGG
RNAcentral lists this ribosomal RNA (253 nucleotides) under uncultured bacterium. RNAcentral describes it as "partial 16S ribosomal RNA". It matches the Rfam family "Bacterial small subunit ribosomal RNA", at positions 524 to 776 of the family's 1533-position model. The record is from RNAcentral.